Molecule: ribosomal RNA, 298 nt
Filed under: Salmonella enterica subsp. enterica serovar Typhimurium
Lineage: Bacteria; Pseudomonadati; Pseudomonadota; Gammaproteobacteria; Enterobacterales; Enterobacteriaceae
Description: partial 23S ribosomal RNA
Rfam family: Bacterial large subunit ribosomal RNA
Source: RNAcentral
ACCCGCGGCAAGACGGAAAGACCCCGUGAACCUUUACUAUAGCUUGACACUGAACAUUGAGCCUUGAUGUGUAGGAUAGGUGGGAGGCUUUGAAGUGUGGACGCCAGUCUGCAUGGAGCCGACCUUGAAAUACCACCCUUUAAUGUUUGAUGUUCUAACGUGGACCCGUAAUCCGGGUUGCGGACAGUGUCUGGUGGGUAGUUUGACUGGGGCGGUCUCCUCCUAAAGAGUAACGGAGGAGCACGAAGGUUGGCUAAUCCUGGUCGGACAUCAGGAGGUUAGUGCAAUGGCAUAAGCC